UACGGAGGGUGCAAGCGUUGUUCGGAAUCACUGGGCGUAAAGCGCGUGUAGGCGGCCUCCUAAGUCUGGUGUGAAAGCCCGGGGCUUACCCCCGGAAGUGCACUGGAUACUGGGAGACUAGAGUACCGGAGAGGAGGGUGGAAUUCCUGGUGUAGCGGUGAAAUGCGUAGAUAUCAGGAAGAACACCGGUGGCGAAGGCGGCCCUCUGGACGGAUACUGACGCUGAGACGCGAAAGCGUGGGGAGCAAACAGGAUUAGAUACCCUGGUAGUCCACGCUGUAAACGAUGGGCACUAGGUGCUCGGGGUAUUGACCCCCUGGGUGCCGUAGCUAACGCAUUAAGUGCCCCGCCUGGGGACUACGGCCGCAAGGCUAAA
RNAcentral lists this ribosomal RNA (376 nucleotides) under uncultured bacterium. RNAcentral describes it as "bacterial SSU rRNA". It matches the Rfam family "Bacterial small subunit ribosomal RNA", at positions 524 to 898 of the family's 1533-position model. The record is from RNAcentral.